CAGCCGCCACGGUAAUACGAGGGGAGCUAGCGCUGUUCGGAAUUACUGGGCGUAAAGCGCGCGUAGGCGGCUUUUUAAGUUAGAGGUGAAAGCCCGGGGCUCAACCCCGGAAUUGCCUUUGAAACUGGAAAGCUAGAAUCUUGGAGAGGUCAGUGGAAUUCCGAGUGUAGAGGUGAAAUUCGUAGAUAUUCGGAAGAACACCAGUGGCGAAGGCGACUGACUGGACAAGUAUUGACGCUGAGGUGCGAAAGCGUGGGGAGCAAACAGGAUUAGAUACCCCUGUAGUCCCUGUCUCUUAUAU
This 301-nucleotide ribosomal RNA is filed under the name uncultured bacterium. Its description in RNAcentral is "partial 16S ribosomal RNA". It matches the Rfam family "Bacterial small subunit ribosomal RNA", at positions 509 to 809 of the family's 1533-position model. The record is from RNAcentral.